AUGCGCAAGGUUCGCUAUACUCAGCAGAACUUCUAUGAAAAGUUGUCCACCAUCAUUGAGGAGUUCCCCCGACUGGAUGACAUCCACCCUUUCUAUGUCAAUCUCCUUCAUGUGUUGUACAACAUGGAUCACUACAAACUUGCCAUGGGUCAGAUCAAUACGACUCGAAAUAUCAUUGGAAAGAUUUCCAUGGAUUAUCUGAGGCUGCUCAAGUAUGGAGACACCUUGUACCGGUACAAGUGCCUUAAGGUAGCUGCAUUAGGUCGCAUGUGUACUGUUCUAAAGUGUAUCAGUCCUAGUUUGACAUACCUGGAGCAGAUCAGGCGGCACAUGGCUAGGCUUCCAUCAAUUGACCCAAACACCCGUACUAUCUUGAUUUGUGGCUAUCUCUCUUUCAUGAACAAGGUUACAAGGGCUGAUGUGGACGUACAACCUUAUGGUUUCAUAACAAAAUCACUUUUCGUUGGCCUUGCAGAUUACAAAUAUCUUCGGUACCAAAUGAUUGACACUCCAGGGAUCCUUGAUCAGCCUUUUGAGGACAUGAACAUCAUACAAAUGUGUAGUAUCACCGCUCUUGUCCACUUGAGGGCUGUUGUGUUGUUCUUCUUGGAAAUCUCAGGGUCUUGUGGGUACACUAUUGCUCAGCAAGCAGCACUCUUCCAUAUUAUAAUAUCCUUGUUCACGAAUAAGCCUAUGCACAUUGUGUGCAACAAGACUGAUUUGUACGCUGCUGCUAAGAUGCUGUGUAUAAGGUUUUCCCUAGUAGUGCAAGAUGGAGAUCCUAGUGAAGAGGGUGUUUUGUUGACUAUGAGUGCCUUAACAGUCGAAGGUGUGAUGGCUGUUAAGAAUGCUGCAUGUGAGAGGCUUCUCGAGCAGAGAGUGGAGAUCAAGAUGAAGUCAAAGAAGAUCAAUGACUGCUUAAAUAGGUUUCAUGCUGCUAUGCCCAAGCCUCGUGACAACAGAGAUAGGCCUACUUGCAUUCAUCAGGCUGUUCUUGAAGCUCAAGCAAUUGUGGCUGCAAAGGAAAUGAAGAAGCUUGAGAGGGACCUUGAGGAUGAGAAUGGAGGUGUUGGUGUCGAUUCGGCCAGUCUCAAGAAGCAUUACUUAUUGGCCAAUGAUGAAUGGAAGGAAGAUAUUCUCCCUGAGAUUUACAUGGACAUAAUGUGUGAAGAACUAGAAAGGGAGGAGGGUCUUCGUCUUGAAGAAGAAGCUGCUCAAGCUGCUUUCAUGAUUGAUGGCCAUGAAAAAUUAACUGAAGAACAUCAUGAGAUAUUUGGUCAGAUUAGGAAGAAGGCAAUGAGCCGUCCUAUUGUUCCAAAGAAACAAGAGAAAGAUGGGAAAUUCACAACCAAGAGAUUGGGCAGGCAACUCACAUCCAUCGAGUCAAGAGGCCAUAACAGUGAGAGGUCAAUGAACAGAGCUAAUUGUGAUGACGCUAUGGACGCUGAUGGCCAACAUUCCGACAAGGAACUGCGUACAAGGUCGAGGUCUAAGUACAAAUCCCAACCAAUUGAAGUGGUCGUGCUAGGUGAUGGGCUCAGGGACACUACUCAAAAGAAGAAGGCCAUCAAGAAGUCAAGGGACUCUGUCAAGAACAGGAACAAGGAGGCUCGCCAUGGGGAGGCGGAUCGCUUGAUCCCUACCUUGAAACCGAAGCAUCUCUUCUCUGGAAGACGAGGCAUUGGAAAGACCAGAAGGCAUUAA
This 1704-nucleotide ribosomal RNA is filed under the name Triticum aestivum (bread wheat). Its description in RNAcentral is "partial small subunit ribosomal RNA". The record is from RNAcentral. Lineage: Eukaryota; Viridiplantae; Streptophyta; Magnoliopsida; Poales; Poaceae.